CAUAAAAUCAUCCAUGAAAAUUCGAACUCCUUUUUGCUUACUGUUGCAGUUUCUUGAGGAAUAUAGAUAACAUGCAAAUUUGAGUACUUAGUCAGUUAGUCUUGUUAAAUUAACCGCUUUCCAUGUGCAUUGCAUGUGCCAUUUCCUUGGCAGCUGAAUUUCGCUCCAAGGCUGCCUUGUGCCAUGCCUUAGCUCAAUUUGACAUUGGCCCAUGCCAAUGUUAUGCCCGCAUUCCGUUGCCAUGAUUUUGCCGCACACGCCCAGUGCCGCUGCCGCCGGCACACCGCCUUGGCUUAGUUUUCUGCCUUGUCAGUACCAAUCCUCAUUUCCCUCGUGCCAUUGCUUGUUCUUUCUUUCCCAUAGCCUUGUCUUAGCUAUUGAAAGCCUUUGCUAUGAACCCGCAUUUCCGCCUCGCCUUAGCUUAGCCCGCACAUAGCUGUCACAACCCAAAAAUGGUCUACUUGAGGAUUAUGUAUAAGAGUAUAAUGUAGUGUAUUUGUAGAGAAAUCCGGCUUAGUAUUUCUAUCAGUACUUAAGCUUUUGAAAGCUCCGAUAAAGAGAUUGAUAGCUUGCAGUAUAUGGGAAUUUCUAUGUGCAUGAUUUUUUUCAUAACGAGCUAGCUAAAUGUGAUCGACGUUAAUUAUUAUUGUUGGGAUAUAUACUAUUAAC
This 669-nucleotide long non-coding RNA is filed under the name Nicotiana benthamiana. RNAcentral describes it as "long non-coding RNA (NBEN_LNC009741)". The record is from RNAcentral. Lineage: Eukaryota; Viridiplantae; Streptophyta; Magnoliopsida; Solanales; Solanaceae.